This is a non-coding RNA of Cricetulus griseus (Chinese hamster), 78 nucleotides long. Lineage: Eukaryota; Metazoa; Chordata; Mammalia; Rodentia; Cricetidae. The record is from Rfam.
AAAGUACUAUAGCAGCACAUCAUGGUUUACAUACUAUAGUCAAGAUGCGAAUCAUUAUUUGCUGCUCUAGAAAUUUAA